UGAGCAAUCUGCCCUUCUCUUCGGAAUAAGCGUUGGAAACGACGUCUAAUGCCGAAUACGACCUCCUUUCGCAUGAUCGGAGGUGGAAAGCUCCGGCGGAGGAGGAUGAGCUCGCGGCCUAUCAGCUAGUUGGUGUGGGUAAUGGCCCACCAAGGCGACGACGGGUAGCCGGCCUGAGAGGGUGACCGGCCACACUGGGACUGAGACACGGCCCAGACUCCGUACGGGAGGNAGCG
RNAcentral lists this ribosomal RNA (236 nucleotides) under uncultured bacterium. Its description in RNAcentral is "partial 16S ribosomal RNA". It matches the Rfam family "Bacterial small subunit ribosomal RNA", at positions 118 to 353 of the family's 1533-position model. The record is from RNAcentral.